AACAGGAUUAGAUACCCUGGUAGUCCACGCCGUAAACGAUGUCGACUUGGAGGCUGUUCCCUUGAGGAGUGGCUUCCGGAGCUAACGCGUUAAGUCGACCGCCUGGGGAGUACGGCCGCAAGGUUAAAACUCAAAUGAAUUGACGGGGGCCCGCACAAGCGGUGGAGCAUGUGGUUUAAUUCGAUGCAACGCGAAGAACCUUACCUACUCUUGACAUCCAGAGAAUUUAGCAGAGAUGCUUUAGUGCCUUCGGGAACUCUGAGACAGGUGCUGCAUGGCUGUCGUCAGCUCGUGUUGUGAAAUGUUGGGUUAAGUCCCGCAACGAGCGCAACCCUUAUCCUUUGUUGCCAGCACGUAAUGGUGGGAACUCAAAGGAGACUGCCGGUGAUAAACCGGAGGAAGGUGGGGAUGACGUCAAGUCAUCAUGGCCCUUACGAGUAGGGCUACACACGUGCUACAAUGGCGCAUACAAAGAGAAGCGACCUCGCGAGAGCAAGCGGACCUCAUAAAGUGCGUCGUAGUCCGGAUUGGAGUCUGCAACUCGACUCCAUGAAGUCGGAAUCGCUAGUAAUCGUAAAUCAGAAUGUUACGGUGAAUACGUUCCCGGGCCUUGUACACACCGCCCGUCACACCAUGGGAGUGGGUUGCAAAAGAAGUGGAUAGCUUAACCUUCGGGAGGGCGUUUACCACUUUGUGAUUCAUGACUGGGGUGAAGUCGUAACAAGGUAACCGUAGGGGAACCUGCGGCUGGAUCACCUCCUU
RNAcentral lists this ribosomal RNA (762 nucleotides) under uncultured bacterium. RNAcentral's name for it is "bacterial SSU rRNA". It matches the Rfam family "Bacterial small subunit ribosomal RNA", at positions 771 to 1532 of the family's 1533-position model. The record is from RNAcentral.